Molecule: ribosomal RNA, 566 nt
Filed under: bacterium AK-MB66
Lineage: Bacteria
Description: bacterial SSU rRNA
Rfam family: Bacterial small subunit ribosomal RNA
Source: RNAcentral
CAUGUGGUUUAAUUCGAUGCAACGCGAAGAACCUUACCUACUCUUGACAUCCAGAGAACUUAGCAGAGAUGCUUUGGUGCCUUCGGGAACUCUGAGACAGGUGCUGCAUGGCUGUCGUCAGCGCGUGUUGUGAAAUGUUGGGUUAAGUCCCGCAACGAGCGCAACCCUUAUCCUUUCUUGCCAGCGGUUCGGCCGGGAACUCAAAGGAGACUGCCAGUGAUAAACUGGAGGAAGGUGGGGAUGACGUCAAGUCAUCAUGGCCCUUUCGAGUAGGGCUACACACGUGCUACAAUGGCAUAUACAAAGAGAAGCGACCUCGCGAGAGCAAGCGGACCUCAUAAAGUAUGUCGUAGUCCGGAUUGGAGUCUGCAACUCGACUCCAUGAAGUCGGAAUCGCUAGUAAUCGUAGAUCCGAAUGCUACGGUUAAUACGUUCCCGGGCCUUGUACACACCGCCCGUCACACCAUGGGAGUGGGUUGCAAAAGAAGUUGGUAGCUUAACCUUCGGGAGGGCGCUUACCACUUUGUGAUUCAUGACUGGGGUGAAGUCGUAACAAGGUAACCGUA